CCUACGGGAGGCUGCAGUGGGGAAUAUUGGACAAUGGGGGCAACCCUGAUCCAGCCAUGCCGCGUGUGUGAAGAAGGCCCUCGGGUUGUAAGGCACUUUCAGUGAGGAAGAACGCCUGGUGGUUAAUACCCAUCAGGAAAGACAUCACUCACAGAAGAAGCACCGGCUAACUCCGUGCCAGCAGCCGCGGUAAUACGGAGGGUGCGAGCGUUAAUCGGAAUUACUGGGCGUAAAGCGCGCGUAGGUGGCUUGAUAAGCCGGUUGUGAAAGCCCCGGGCUCAACCUGGGAACGGCAUCCGGAACUGUCAAGCUAGAGUGCAGGAGAGGAAGGUAGAAUUCCCGGUGUAGCGGUGAAAUGCGUAGAGAUCGGGAGGAAUACCAGUGGCGAAGGCGGCCUUCUGGACUGACACUGACACUGAGGUGCGAAAGCGUGGGUAGCAAACAGGAUUAGAUACCCCUGUAGUC
Molecule: ribosomal RNA, 465 nt
Filed under: Vreelandella stevensii
Lineage: Bacteria; Pseudomonadati; Pseudomonadota; Gammaproteobacteria; Oceanospirillales; Halomonadaceae
Description: partial 16S ribosomal RNA
Rfam family: Bacterial small subunit ribosomal RNA
Source: RNAcentral